RNAcentral lists this ribosomal RNA (484 nucleotides) under uncultured bacterium. RNAcentral's name for it is "partial 16S ribosomal RNA". It matches the Rfam family "Bacterial small subunit ribosomal RNA", at positions 28 to 507 of the family's 1533-position model. The record is from RNAcentral.
AUUGAACGCUGGCGGCAUGCUUUACACAUGCAAGUCGAACGGCAGCGCGGGCUUCGGCCUGGCGGCGAGUGGCGAACGGGUGAGUAAUGCAUCGGAACGUGCCCAGUAGUGGGGGAUAGCCCGGCGAAAGCCGGAUUAAUACCGCAUACGACCUGAGGGUGAAAGCGGGGGACCGAAAGGCCUCGCGCUAUUGGAGCGGCCGAUGUCGGAUUAGCUAGUUGGUGGGGUAAAGGCUUACCAAGGCGACGAUCCGUAGCUGGUCUGAGAGGACGACCAGCCACACUGGGACUGGGACACGGCCCAGACUCCUACGAGAGGCAGCAGUGGGGAAUUUUGGACAAUGGGGGCAACCCGGAUCCAGCCAUGCCGCGUGCGGGAAGAAGGCCUUCGGGUUGUAAACCGCUUUUGUUCGGGAAGAAAGCCUCUGGGCUAAUACCCCGGGGGGAUGACGGUACCGGAAGAAUAAGCACCGGCUAACUACGUG